UGGCAGUCAGAGGCGAUGAAGGGCGUGCUAAUCUGCGAUAAGCGCCGGUAAGGUGAUAUGAACCGUUAUAACCGGCGAUACCCGAAUGGGGAAACCCAGUGUGAUUCGUCACACUAUCAUUAACUGAAUCCAUAGGUUAAUGAGGCGAACCGGGGGAACUGAAACAUCUAAGUACCCCGAGGAAAAGAAAUCAACCGAGAUUCCCCCAGUAGCGGCGAGCGAACGGGGAGGAGCCCAGAGCCUGAAUCAGCAUGUGUGUUAGUGGAAGCGUCUGGAAAGGCGCGCGAUACAGGGUGACAGCCCCGUACACAAAAGCGCAUGUGCUGUGAGCUCGAUGAGUAGGGCGGGACACGUGGUAUCCUGUCUGAAUAUGGGGGGACCAUCCUCCAAGGCUAAAUACUCCUGACUGACCGAUAGUGAACCAGUACCGUGAGGGAAAGGCGAAAAGAACCCCGGCGAGGGGAGUGAAAAAGAACCUGAAACCGUGUACGUACAAGCAGUGGGAGCCCCACCACUAAGCCAGUGGUGAACUCCACAUACGCAUCCUUUGCUGAGGAUACGGUUAACGGAGCGAAAGCGACGUUCAACCUCAAAAGAAGCAGAGGGGGCUUAGUGGUGGGGUGACUGCGUACCUUUUGUAUAAUGGGUCAGCGACUUAUAUUCUGUAGCAAGGUUAACCGCAUAGGGGAGCCGGAGGGAAACCGAGUCUUAAUUGGGCGUUAAGUUGCAGGGUAUAGACCCGAAACCCGGUGAUCUAGCCAUGGGCAGGUUGAAGGUUGGGUAACACUAACUGGAGGACCGAACCGACUAAUGUUGAAAAAUUAGCGGAUGACCUGUGGCUGGGGGUGAAAGGCCAAUCAAACCGGGAGAUAGCUGGUUCUCCCCGAAAGCUAUUUAGGUAGCGCCUCGUGAAUUCAUCUCCGGGGGUAGAGCACUGUUUCG
Molecule: ribosomal RNA, 942 nt
Filed under: Salmonella enterica subsp. enterica serovar Kambole
Lineage: Bacteria; Pseudomonadati; Pseudomonadota; Gammaproteobacteria; Enterobacterales; Enterobacteriaceae
Description: partial 23S ribosomal RNA
Rfam family: Bacterial large subunit ribosomal RNA
Source: RNAcentral